This 253-nucleotide ribosomal RNA is filed under the name uncultured bacterium. RNAcentral's name for it is "partial 16S ribosomal RNA". It matches the Rfam family "Bacterial small subunit ribosomal RNA", at positions 524 to 776 of the family's 1533-position model. The record is from RNAcentral.
GACGUAGGGCGCGAGCGUUGUCCGGAUUUAUUGGGCGUAAAGAGCUCGUAGGCGGUUUGUCGCGUCUGGUGUGAAAAUCCAGGGCUUAACCCUGGACCUGCAUCGGGUACGGGCAGACUAGAGUGCGGUAGGGGAGAUCGGAAUUCCUGGUGUAGCGGUGAAAUGCGCAGAUAUCAGGAGGAACACCGGUGGCGAAGGCGGAUCUCUGGGCAGUAACUGACGCUGAGGAGCGAAAGCGUGGGGAGCGAACAGG